Callithrix jacchus (white-tufted-ear marmoset) is the source of this 4601-nucleotide long non-coding RNA. RefSeq lists it as uncharacterized. The record is from RefSeq and is a predicted model, not a curated record. Lineage: Eukaryota; Metazoa; Chordata; Mammalia; Primates; Cebidae.
GGGCAGCACAGCCUUGGCAGAGGCUGCCACUCUUAUGGCACCAGCACAGAGGGGCAUGAGGCCAAGUCUUCUGCCAAGGCUGUGCUAGACAGGCAGUUACAGCAGCAGGAGUCUCAGCCCUGUAGGGGAGAAAGAGCAUCUCCACCAUUGUAGCUGGAGGCUGGGACCCCAGAGGCAGACAGAGGCACUAUCGAGGUACAGUUCCUGGAGGAGCAGAACCAGGUGCUGCAAACCAAGUGGGAGCUGCUGUGGCAGCUGGAUGUCAGCUCCUGGUGCACCACCAGCCCGGAGCUUAUCUUCAAGGACUACAUCAGCAACCUCGGGAGGAAGGUGGCCCAGGUCAUGGUAGAAAAAACCAGGCAGCAAGUAGAGCUCAAGGACACUCAAGACUCAGUGGAAAAAUACAAGAGGAAGCUGGAAUAAGGUAGCACGAUCCUGGCUCACUGCAACCUCCGCCUCCUGGAUUCAAGCAAUUCUCAUGCCUCAGCCUCCUGAGUAGCAGAGAUUACAAGCUCCUGCCACCACGCCCAGCUAAUUUUUGUAUUUUUAGUAGAGAUGGGGUUUUACCAUGUUGGUCAUGCUGGUCUCGAACUCCUGACCUCAGGUGAUCUGCCCGCCUCGGCCUCCCAAAGUGCUGAAAUUAUAGGCGUGAGCCAUCGUGCCCAGCCAACGGUCUUCUUAUCUACUACAUCAGACCAGAUAUGAAGCAGAAAUCAACAGCCGGGCAAAUGCUGAGAAUGACUUUGUUGUGGUGCUGAAGAAGUACCAGGAGCUCCAGGUCACUGCCAGGAGGAAGGGUGAGAACCUCAAAACCGUUAAGAUGGAGGUCAAUGAGCUGAACUAAGCCAUCCAGAGACUUCAGGCGGAAAUCACCAACCUCAGGAAACAGAUGGGACCCCAACUCGACAGUGGUAGCCUUUGGAGGGGAGAGAGUGGGAUUAAGAUAGAUUUUUUUCCUACUUGUCUAUAUUCUCAGGUUUUCCACAAUAAAUGGUGGUUAUGAGGAUGGAGAAGAGACAGGCACAGGUGGGUGUGGGAAGGUACCCGGUCUCCUGUGCUCCAGUCACUGCCUGCUGUUGGCCCUCGGCACAGUGCUGCCCUGCUAGACACCAUCCUGGAGGCAGAGAAGAUGGGCAGGAUGCCAUCUUCUCAGGGAUGCCUAGGACAAGUGGGCUGAGUGGAGGCUGGACAGCUGCUCUGUAAGUAUCAGGAGCUGGUGAGCAUCAAGCUGGCCCUGGAGGGCCAGGCAUGCAGGUAGGUCACCCAGAGGGGACAGGACAGGCAAGGGUCCUCACUGCACUCAGCCAUGGUAGGCACUCUCUGUCAGCCCUCCCAUCUGCAUGAUGGGCAAUUAAUUAACUCAUUCACUCCUGAAAUGCUGCUCAGGCUUCAUUCAGCAGUGCUGUCUGGUCAGGGCCUUUGUCCCAGGUGCACAUGAUGAGCACUGAUCCUGGCCCUGUGUGCUGCACUCCUUAACUCUCUGGAAUUUCCCUCACUUGAACAAGAGGGAGAAGGGUGAGGAUUUCCCUGCUGUUGUGAAAGGCUGGGAGAAAAGGUAUAGUUUUCCUUGGUUUCACCUGCUCCAGGCAUGGGUGCAUUGGUCCUGGGCUGGGUAAGGGUAGAGGGGAUGGAGGCUGAGGUUCUGGGAGAGUGUGAGUGCUUGUGCAAGUCUAGGAACAGUGGCCGUGCGCCGAGAACCAGCUCGGUCGGGAGACUCCCACCCAGGUGGGCUGAAGGUAUUGAAGGGCAGACACCCAGAUAGCCAACAGAGUGAUCCAUCUGGGAACCAACAGCCUGAGAGCCUGCAGGGCUGACAGCUCUCCAGGACUGAAGGCCCCCAGCAGAGAUUCAUCCACACAUUAAUUACUCUUUGACAGGUUAUUCUUAUUAAUACACAGGUGCUCUACAUAUACACAGAACUCAGGAAUGUAUCAGGUAGGCAGCUGUUACCUGCCUACCACUACUUACAGACUAAAAGUAACUUCCACCGAGGGAGCCAUGGGGGCAGUGUCCCAUAAAGGAAUGGUGGCCAGGGCCACCGACACCCAAAGGCCCACUGAGAGGGGUUUCCUGUGGGGCCUGGCAUUUGGAUGCAUACGGAAGAAAAGGAAAAGAAUUUGUUUUGACCCAAAAGUCCAUCUCCAAACUGCCUUCAGUUCUGUGUAAGAAGGAUAUUCAGGGAUGCAGAAGGGGUGUUGGGGUGCACAGAACUGUCUCUCCACAGCUGUGGUGUCAAGCACUGUCUCAGCUCCUGGGCAGCUGCGUCUGGUUUCUGCUCAGGGGACAGAGCCUUCCUGAGAGGGAGCACCAUCCCCCGAGGAUCUAGUGCAGCAUCUGGGUCCAUGUCCAGGGCUGUGAGGUCCUCAGGGGCUGGCUAGAGCUUCUGAGGAUCAGACCUCAAGCUAGGAAUCCUGGACACGCUGGUCCUGGCUUCAGAGGUGAGGAGUCCAGUUCAGUGAGAGUCCAGGGCUCCAGCUCAGGCCACAGAAGCCUGUGGGUCUCCCUCCCAGAGACUAAGCCUAAUCUUCUGGCCCUGCUCUCUCCUGGCAUCUGUCUGCCUGAGUAUGCAUACCUGCUCUGGCUCUGCCCCACCUUUUGGCCUUCUUUGGCAGUUUGGAGAUGGACUUUUGGGUCAAAGCAAAUUCUUUUCCUUUUCUCCCAUAUGCAUCCAAACGCCAGGCCCCACAGGAAACCCCCUCUCAGUGGGCCUUUGGGUGUCGGUCACCUUCUCCCUUUCCUCUCCCGGCAGCCUCGUCGUGCGCUUAGCCCACACUGUCUCCUUCUACCGUGCAGAAGCCAGAGCUCCUCCCCUGUCUCCGGUCCUGAAGCAAGGGCGUGCAUAAACACCUUUUGAAACAUGAUUCCUAUCACUUCUCGGUUAUCCACUUUAGUGGAUGUCAGCCAUGGCACUGAUAACCUGCAACCAUGUUCAGCAAGAAGUUGUUUUUACUUCAUUUUGCAGGGCCCCAUAUGACCUAUUCUGGGGCAGAGGGACUCUCUGCUUUCCAUGGAUUCAUAGACCAUGGGUGGCCAUCAAAGGGAGGAGGAGUGAGGAAGAUCUACGGGGACAGGGAGGGUGAAGGUGUGCCAGCCUGGCCCCACCCCAUUUCCCGAGAAAGCCAGUGGAUUAUACACCUGGAGGGCAACCUGAGUGUGGGCUGGGUUCAGGUGUCUCCCCAUCUGCCGGGAUGAAGAUAAAAACAGCAGAAGCAAAUCCAUCACAGAGGCCAUACUUUGGCAGAGUCUAGUUUGAAAUAACAUCCAGUGCGACCUGCUGGGCUACGAGGGGUAUGACUAGAGCCUUGGAACCCUCCAGUUUAUGAAGGAGAUCUUGCAUCCUGUGUUUUGUUGUAAAGGGUUGCCCACUCCCACCUUACCCUCCCUCCCACACUUUUCCAGUAAAUUUCAAGGGGAAUUCAUUCUGUUUGGAAACUUUUAAAAUAAUCACUAAUCAGAUCAGUUCUGAGUAUUGUUCACUAACCCCAAAUUGCCACUCUGCAAGGCACACAUGUGCACACAUGCACACAUACACACACACAUACAUGCACAUAUGUUCAUUCUCUGUUCUAUCCUCGUUCAGCUAUCUGUGCUCACAGGAGGGAACACUGGAAGGGGUGUUUUACCUGUUUGGUUUUGGAAGGUGGGCACAAAGGACCCUUGUUUCCUCUCUCUAUUAUGAAAGCUCAGCUUCCAUUUUUACAGCAAUAACUUUAGGUCUUGAGCCUUGCUUGGCAGCCAAGCUGGUGUUAUUAUUGGCUAAUUUCGGGGUAAUAGUGUUGCUAACAUUAUUGGUAAGAGGAUUAUUAUCAGGUGACUAAAUGGCCAGAGGCUGUGGAGUGGGAAAAGCAGCCUGGGGGCUCAGGUCAUGAGGGCAGCUCUCCUGUUUUGUCUCCUGCUUUGCUCCUGCUUUGCUCGGGAGGCGGUUUCCAGUCCACACUGCACUCAAGAGUCCAGACUGUUGUAUUGGAAGGCAGGUCUCAUCAGUUCCCUGUUGUGAGCUCUGUUUUGAGCAGCAAGGGGAGGAAGAUAGCCAGGGAUAAUGGGGCACAGGUCCUGCCUUCGAGCCACUCCUAUGCUUCUGAAGAGGCAGCAUGCAUUCAUUCAACAACCAUGUAUGUGCCAGAUUCUAUUCCCAACACUAAUACAAGAGGGUGACCAAGACCUCUGUCUACUGGGAAGCAGGUAAGUGAAUGUGCUGAGUAUAGUGAGACAGAUGCUGUCUUGGGAAGAGCAUCUCAGGAACAAGAGACCCAGAUUAGGAGAAGGGAGACUUCCUUGAUAAGGAGCCCUCAAAGCUGAAACCUGAAACCUGCAGGAUGUAUUUAGAGGUAUAUUGUUUAGUUAAUAAGUGUUUGGAUAGAUCCCAUUGUCUUUCCUUUGUUUAUAUUCAGUUUUAUUUAUUUUGGUUACAGAACAUACUCUGUAUGGUGUAAGUUAUUUUCCACUUGUUAAGGUUGAUUUUAUAUCCCAGAAUGUGGCCUAUCUGGGUGAAUGUCCUGUGGGCACUUGAGCAGAAUAUUUAUUCUGCUUUUAUUAGGUGGAAUGUCUUGUAAAUAUCAACUGACCCUGCUGGUUGAUGGUACUGUUGAGCUCUCUCACAC